UUUUGUAGAAUGAACCGGCGAGUUACGAUUUGAUGCAAGGUUAAGCAGUAAAUGUGGAGCCGUAGCGAAAGCGAGUCUGAAUAGGGCGUUUAGUAUUUGGUCGUAGACCCGAAACCAGGUGAUCUACCCUUGGUCAGGUUGAAGUUCAGGUAACACUGAAUGGAGGACCGAACCGACUUACGUUGAAAAGUGAGCGGAUGAACUGAGGGUAGCGGAGAAAUUCCAAUCGAACCUGGAGAUAGCUGGUUCUCUCCGAAAUAGCUUUAGGGCUAGCCUCAAGUGAUGAUUAUUGGAGGUAGAGCACUGUUUGGACGAGGGGCCCCUCUCGGGUUACCGAAUUCAGACAAACUCCGAAUGCCAAUUAAUUUAACUUGGGAGUCAGAACAUGGGUGAUAAGGUCCGUGUUCGAAAGGGAAACAGCCCAGACCACCAGCUAAGGUCCCAAAAUAUAUGUUAAGUGGAAAAGGAUGUGGCGUUGCCCAGACAACUAGGAUGUUGGCUUAGAAGCAGCCAUCAUUUAAAGAGUGCGUAAUAGCUCACUAGUCGAGUGACACUGCGCCGAAAAUGUACCGGGGCUAAACAUAUUACCGAAGCUGUGGAUUGUCCUUUGGACAAUGGUAGGAGAGCGUUCUAAGGGCGUUGAAGCAUGAUCGUAAGGACAUGUGGAGCGCUUAGAAGUGAGAAUGCCGGUGUGAGUAGCGAAAGACGGGUGAGAAUCCCGUCCACCGAUUGACUAAGGUUUCCAGAGGAAGGCUCGUCCGCUCUGGGUUAGUCGGGUCCUAAGCUGAGGCCGACAGGCGUAGGCGAUGGAUAACAGGUUGAUAUUCCUGUACCACCUAUAAUCGUUUUAAUCGAUGGGGGGACGCAGUAGGAUAGGCGAAGCGUGCGAUUGGAUUGCACGUCUAAGCAGUAAGGCUGAGUAUUAGGCAAAUCCGGUACUC
RNAcentral lists this ribosomal RNA (941 nucleotides) under Staphylococcus aureus. RNAcentral's name for it is "partial 23S ribosomal RNA". It matches the Rfam family "Bacterial large subunit ribosomal RNA", at positions 606 to 1550 of the family's 2925-position model. Lineage: Bacteria; Bacillati; Bacillota; Bacilli; Caryophanales; Staphylococcaceae. The record is from RNAcentral.